RNAcentral lists this ribosomal RNA (867 nucleotides) under Actinobacteridae bacterium F1H12bisB12. Its description in RNAcentral is "bacterial SSU rRNA". It matches the Rfam family "Bacterial small subunit ribosomal RNA", at positions 38 to 917 of the family's 1533-position model. The record is from RNAcentral. Lineage: Bacteria; Bacillati; Actinomycetota; Actinomycetes.
AGGGCGCGCGCUUACCAUGCAAGUCGAACGAUGAAGCCCAGCUUGCUGGGUGGAUUAGUGGCGAACGGGUGAGUAACACGUGGGUGAUCUGCCCUGCACUCUGGGAUAAGCCUGGGAAACUGGGUCUAAUACCGGAUAUGACCUCUUGCUGCAUGGCGAGGGGUGGAAAGUUUUUCGGUGCAGGAUGAGCCCGCGGCCUAUCAGCUUGUUGGUGGGGUAAUGGCCUACCAAGGCGACGACGGGUAGCCGGCCUGAGAGGGCGACCGGCCACACUGGGACUGAGACACGGCCCAGACUCCUACGGGAGGCAGCAGUGGGGAAUAUUGCACAAUGGGCGAAAGCCUGAUGCAGCGACGCCGCGUGAGGGAUGACGGCCUUCGGGUUGUAAACCUCUUUCAGCAGGGACGAAGCGAAAGUGACGGUACCUGCAGAAGAAGCACCGGCCAACUACGUGCCAGCAGCCGCGGUAAUACGUAGGGUGCGAGCGUUGUCCGGAAUUACUGGGCGUAAAGAGCUCGUAGGCGGUUUGUCGCGUCGUCUGUGAAAUCCCGCAGCUCAACUGCGGGCUUGCAGGCGAUACGGGCAGACUCGAGUACUGCAGGGGAGACUGGAAUUCCUGGUGUAGCGGUGAAAUGCGCAGAUAUCAGGAGGAACACCGGUGGCGAAGGCGGGUCUCUGGGCAGUAACUGACGCUGAGGAGCGAAAGCGUGGGUAGCGAACAGGAUUAGAUACCCUGGUAGUCCACGCCGUAAACGGUGGGCGCUAGGUGUGGGUUUCCUUCCACGGGAUCCGUGCCGUAGCCAACGCAUUAAGCGCCCCGCCUGGGGAGUACGGCCGCAAGGCUAAAACUCAAAGGAAAUUGACGGA